AGAAAACUCAUCAGGGCCAUUUAGUAUCCUGCACACAUACUUUUUAUUGCCGUAGCUGCAGAAGAGGUGAAUACAAUAGAAUCUAUCUCUGAGAAUGAGAAGCACAAAUCUGUGGACAGAUCCACAUUCAGUGGAGCCCUGACAGCUUUGAACCACUCUUCCAGCUUCCAUUGGCUCUGGAGUUCUCCCAGCAGAAGCACACAUCCAAUAGACUUGAAGCUGAAAUUUAUCUUUGCAGUCAAGGCUUUGAGGACUUCCCAUAGUUAUGUUUGUGUGAAUUGAAUAUAUAUCUCUAAAUUCUAAUGGUCGCCAGAGCUUUGAGUCAUUUCUAUGAAGCUCRUCAUAAUCUCUGAACCCUUCUCAGAAUUAGUCUCCCAGCUUGUGGCAGACAGAUGAGUGAACUUUUGCCUUAAACAUUUCUUGGUACAUAAGGUGCAAGCAAACCAUAACCCCGAACAAACCAUCUGUUCCCGGCGGAAACAGGACUGAGCUGCUGCGACCCCYGAAAUGGUCUCCCUGCGACCACCCAGGACACACCGAGCCUGCGCYGAACCAGGGCACGAUCGGACAGAGACUUUGGGACCUGGACUGUAAAUUAUUGCCACUUAACACAACUUUUAUAAAACUUGCUUAGCAUGAGUAGCUAAAUUUGCUGAAGCCUUAGGCCGCACUCCCUAGUUCAGUGAGAAAGGGCCCCAGAGCUGGUGCAGACUGGAAGGAUAAGGGAGUUACAAGCAG
RNAcentral lists this long non-coding RNA (738 nucleotides) under Dromaius novaehollandiae (emu). Its description in RNAcentral is "lncRNA (ENSDNVG00000002063.1)". Lineage: Eukaryota; Metazoa; Chordata; Aves; Casuariiformes; Dromaiidae. The record is from RNAcentral.